This 329-nucleotide ribosomal RNA is filed under the name Stylaria lacustris. Its description in RNAcentral is "eukaryotic LSU rRNA". It matches the Rfam family "Eukaryotic large subunit ribosomal RNA", at positions 42 to 365 of the family's 3401-position model. Lineage: Eukaryota; Metazoa; Annelida; Clitellata; Tubificida; Naididae. The record is from RNAcentral.
AUUAAUAAGCGGAGGAAAAGAAACUAACCAGGAUUCCCUCAGUAACGGCGAGUGAAGCGGGAAGAGCCCAGCACCGAAUCGCACGUCAUACAGACGUCGCGAACUGUGGUGUUUAGGACUAGCGCAUGUGCGUUGGUCUGGCGUCCGAGUCCUCCUGAUCGGGGCUUUGCCAGAGCGGGUGUCAGCCCUCUACGGCGCCGGAUCGACGUGCCCGCCACGUCCUCGGAGUCGGGUUGUUUGAUAAUGCAGCCCAAAGUGGGUGGUAAACUCCAUCUAAGGCUAAAUACGGACACGAGUCCGAUAGCGAACAAGUACCGUGAGGGAAAGUU